This 440-nucleotide ribosomal RNA is filed under the name uncultured bacterium. Its description in RNAcentral is "partial 16S ribosomal RNA". It matches the Rfam family "Bacterial small subunit ribosomal RNA", at positions 338 to 795 of the family's 1533-position model. The record is from RNAcentral.
CCUACGGGAGGCUGCAGUGGGGAAUAUUGCACAAUGGGGGGAACCCUGAUGCAGCGACGCCGCGUGAGUGAAGAAGUAUUUCGGUAUGUAAAGCUCUAUCAGCAGGGAAGAAAAUGACGGUACCUGACUAAGAAGCCCCGGCUAACUACGUGCCAGCAGCCGCGGUAAUACGUAGGGGGCAAGCGUUAUCCGGAUUUACUGGGUGUAAAGGGAGCGUAGACGGCAGAGCAAGUCUGAAGUGAAAGCCCGCGGCUCAACUGCGGGACUGCUUUGGAAACUGCCCGGCUGGAGUGCAGGAGAGGUAAGCGGAAUUCCUAGUGUAGCGGUGAAAUGCGUAGAUAUUAGGAGGAACACCAGUGGCGAAGGCGGCUUACUGGACAGUAACUGACGUUGAGGCUCGAAAGCGUGGGGAGCAAACAGGAUUAGAUACCCUAGUAGUC